Molecule: ribosomal RNA, 253 nt
Filed under: uncultured bacterium
Lineage: Bacteria
Description: partial 16S ribosomal RNA
Rfam family: Bacterial small subunit ribosomal RNA
Source: RNAcentral
UACGAAGGGGGCUAGCGUUGCUCGGAAUCACUGGGCGUAAAGGGUGCGUAGGCGGCCAACUAAGUCGGAUGUGAAAUCCCCAGGCUCAACUUGGGAACUGCAUCCGAUACUGGAUGGCUUGAAUUCGGGAGAGGGAUGCAGAAUUCCAGGUGUAGCGGUGAAAUGCGUAGAUAUCUGGAGGAAUACCGGUGGCGAAGGCGGCAUCCUGGACCGACAUUGACGCUGAGGAGCGAAAGCUAGGGGAGCAAACGGG